Molecule: non-coding RNA, 27 nt
Filed under: Mus musculus (house mouse)
Lineage: Eukaryota; Metazoa; Chordata; Mammalia; Rodentia; Muridae
Source: RNAcentral
UUCUCUUUGGUGAACCACUGCUGUGAC